CCAUCCAUCCAUCCAUCCAUCCAUCCAUCCAUCCAUCCAUCCAUCCAUCCAUCCAUCCAUCCAUCCAUCCGAAACACCAUGCAACACACCAGUUUCUGCAGAAACGGGUUAUUUGCAUUCCUCUCAAUGUGCCAAACAGUGUCUUUAUGAGCUGUGUUGAUGCUGACUCGACCGCAGCUACUGGCUCCCUGCAGCCCGGUUGCAGACAGGGCCCCCCGUACCCAACCGCGGGGUCUACCAUGCAGGUAAAAAGAAGCAGAAUGAACGCCAGUGGGACAUCCGCGAAUUUGACAGCUGCACGGAGCCCUUUUCCCCCUCUAGAGUCGUAAUUUCAGAUAAUAUCCCCGAGUCGUGCGCCUUCUCCUCUCUCUGACAAUUUGUAGAUGAAUAACCGAAUAAUUUCCCCCCCUUUUGUUCCAUCCGUUGCUACCUCAAAUCCAAAUAAAGAUGGCUUUUUAGUAUUAAAAGUGGUAGAAAAUUACAGGUAAUUAUCUUUGACGGUAAAAACGCUGUAAUCAGCGGGGCUACAUCAAAAAUUACCCUAAUUAUGCCUGCAUUUAUGAGAAUGGAGGGGUGGAAAAAAAAAGAGAAAAAAAGGCUCACUUGGAUAAAAACCCACAAAUUGUCACAAAUAUCUCCUUCAUAUUGAACGCCGCUGCAGCUGGCUGCUUUGUUCAAGCAUCGAUCCCUGUGGAGCUUGGCAUUUCAGGACGGAGGGAAGGGAGAAAACAUUUUGUCAAUACUUCUAAUAAUUGAGGGUGAAGCGACGAGAUGAGCUGGACCUGGAGCAAAUGUCUUUGGGGCCUCUGGUCUCUAUCCUCUUCCCUCUUCAUACCCACUCCAUCCCUUCUCUCUCUCUCCCAUCAACUCUAACCCCCCCAUACCUCUCUCCAUUUUCUGCUUUCCUCCCCUCACCCCUUUCUCACCCCCAAUAGGUACGCCUCCAUCCACUCUUGGCAGCCACAUCUCUUCCUCGCUGCCCCCCCCUCCACCCCCUCCUCAUCCUGCCUGGCUCUCCCACCCCUCUCCCUGGUUGGUUUCCACAGCUGUGGUGAGUGAGGGGCAGAUGACCGGAGAAUUGGCCCCUGGGAGAGCGCUGAGCCAUCCUGGUGCUAUUAGGCUCGUGGCUAAUAAUAGGUGUUUCAGACCAGGGGAAGAUCAAUCAGGGGGAAUCAUGGGGAAUGUUCAGAGCAGCGCUUUUUACACAUCGGCCCAGAUGGAUGAAAUUACACUUGUCAGUUUUUAGUUGCAUUACUCCCAAAUUGGUUGUCUACUCUUUUUUUUUUCCCCCACCCUACCUCCCUCAUCUCUCCUUUCUCUCUCUUUGCCCCCCAUUCAUGUGUCAGUGGCCUGCUAAAAGGAUUCGCCGGUGAAAUCCCUGUCAUUUUUGUCUUUUGCCUGUUUAGCCCUCAGGCAACAACUCCAUUGCCUAGCAUGUAUGCACUUAGAAAGCAUCAACUCACGUCUUAGGGGCUCGGCCAAUUUCCAUGUUAAAGCCAAGUCUGCCGUUGACAUUCUGUGUGCGUUCUGCAUGCAUAAUAAAGCCAUUUGGUUUUGUCACAGUCAAACGUUCAGAGGACGACCAAAGAAAGUAGCGGAUGAGGAGAACAAUAGAUUUGCACCAACGUUAACAGUUUGUUAAACAAGGAAUUGCUUCACAUAUUGAUAAAGUAAAGAUCCAGAGCAAGGUAAGCAAUUACGCUGAUGAUGGACUUUAAUUUAAGGUACACAAAAAGUAUAA
This is a long non-coding RNA of Fundulus heteroclitus (mummichog), 1741 nucleotides long. RefSeq lists it as uncharacterized. The record is from RefSeq and is a predicted model, not a curated record. Lineage: Eukaryota; Metazoa; Chordata; Actinopteri; Cyprinodontiformes; Fundulidae. The transcript has 2 exons.